CAUGAAAGGAGCUAUACCCCCAAAACCAACCAGAACAACAACUACUACUACAAUGGUGCAAAUGGGUACAAAAACGAAGGGAAGCAAGGCAUGAGUGACACCAGGUACUUGCAAAAUGGAAGGUACUUCUUUGACCCCAAGGGUGGGAACAGCUAUUACAACCCAAAUCAGUACCAGACUUCAAGAAACAAUUACGAUUCUAGGGGUUCUUACUACAAUAAUUAUGAGAACACCAACCCAUUAGUUAUAGUUGAACC
This 257-nucleotide unclassified non-coding RNA is filed under the name Hevea brasiliensis (rubber tree). The record is from RNAcentral. Lineage: Eukaryota; Viridiplantae; Streptophyta; Magnoliopsida; Malpighiales; Euphorbiaceae.